RNAcentral lists this ribosomal RNA (427 nucleotides) under uncultured bacterium. Its description in RNAcentral is "bacterial SSU rRNA". It matches the Rfam family "Bacterial small subunit ribosomal RNA", at positions 28 to 440 of the family's 1533-position model. The record is from RNAcentral.
GAUGAACGCUAGCUACAGGCUUAACACAUGCAAGUCGAGGGGAAACGACAUCGAAAGCUUGCUUUUGGUGGGCGUCGACCGGCGCACGGGUGAGUAACGCGUAUCCAACCCUGCCCACCACUUGGGGAUAACCUUGCGAAAGUAAGACUAAUACCCAAUGAUAUCCCACGAAGGCAUCCGAAUGGGAUUAAAGAUUUAUCGGUGAUGGAUGGGGAUGCGUCUGAUUAGCUUGUUGGCGGGUAACGGCCCACCAAGGCAACGAUCAGUAGGGGUUCUGAGAGGAAGGUCCCCCACAUUGGAACUGAGACACGGUCCAAAACUCCUACGGGAGGCAGCAGUGAGGAAUAUUGGUCAAUGGACGAAGUCUGAACCAGCCAAGUAGCGUGACAGGAUGACGGCCCUAUGGGGUUGUAAAACUGCUUUUACG